Molecule: ribosomal RNA, 257 nt
Filed under: uncultured bacterium
Lineage: Bacteria
Description: partial 16S ribosomal RNA
Rfam family: Bacterial small subunit ribosomal RNA
Source: RNAcentral
UUUCCUACGGGAGGCAGCAGUGGGGAAUUUUCGUCAAUGGGCGCAAGCCUGAACGAGCAAUGCCGCGUGAACGAGGAAGGUCUUCGGAUCGUAAAGUUCUGUUGAAGGGGAAAAAGAGCGGAGAGAGGAAAUGGUCUCCGAUUGAUAUUACCCUUCGAGGAAGUCACGGCUAACUCCGUGCCAGCAGCCGCGGUAAUACGGAGGAUGCGAGCGUUAUCCGGAUUUAUUGGGUUUAAAGGGUGCGUAGGCGGACUGUU